Molecule: transfer RNA, 67 nt
Filed under: Marmota monax (woodchuck)
Lineage: Eukaryota; Metazoa; Chordata; Mammalia; Rodentia; Sciuridae
Description: tRNA.Ala
Source: RNAcentral
GGUUGUAGCUCAGGGGUAGAGUGUUUGCCUAGCAUGUGUGAGGCCCUGGGUUUGAUUCUCAGCACCA